UCCAAGUCUCGUUCUUCCCCAAACUGUAAUAGGGAAAAACAUUUGCUGAGCCAGCGAAUUAUGUUGCUGCUUUAAAAAAAAAGAAAAAGAAAAAGAAAAUGGUUUUUUUUUUCCUUUUGUUUUGCUUCCUUUUGCAGUGAUGAGGUGCUAGCUUAGCCCACACUGUGUGACCUUUGUUAGAAAAGUCACCUGCUGUUACAAGUUACUCUGGUCUCCUGUUGUUACAGACUUACCUCGAUUGUGUUCUACAUGUAUAAUUUGAAUUCAUAUGGGAUUUCACAGGACCCCUGCUCUUUUCUUUAUAAUUUAAGGAAAUAGAAAAAUAGGCUUCCUAUCUGAGGGAUAUCAGGCCUCAUUUUUAUUGUCACAGAAGUCAUACUUCCUAGAAGACCUAUGCAUCCCACAGGAUUUUUUGAGAAUCGAAUAUAAAAUCUUUACAAAUAAAAAAUUAGGCAUGCAGACACAUUGGAAGGCAAGGAGAGUGGAAUUUAUUAAAAGAAAGCUCUCAGCAAAAAAAAAAAAUAAAAAUGGGAGGUUCCUGCCAACAGGCUUCCACCUCACAGAUUGAAUACCAGGCCACAACACAGCAGCUGAAGAGACUGCGCUCCUCCCCACUUCAUAAGGACCGACGCAGUUCAUGUUCCUGAAGGUUUACCCCGGCAGACGGUAUAAAUCCAAAUCACCUUCCCUCCUGACUUCUCUCCACUACUCAGGGUGGCUCCUUUAUUUCAGCCUCAGGGCCUCUCUCACACAUGAUCAGCAUCUAGGGUUCCAACAUACAUGCAUGCACGUGUACACACAUACACAAGCGCACACGCGCACAUGCACACACGCACUGCACCUUUGUUAACACUAUCUUCCUGUCACAAAUUGCCUUUCCCUCUCCUCUCAGAUUCAAAUCCUAGCACAGAGUUAAAAGUUCAGGCUCUGGAAAUCAGGUUGCCUGUGUUUGUAUCCAGCUUUUCUACAUAUUAACUAGAUGACCUUGUGCAGGUUACUUAACUCUCAAUGUCUAGGUUUCCUCAUGCAAAAUGAGAAUAAUAGUAGUACCUAUCUGAGGUGGCACUGCUAAAUGUCUAUUUGAUGUCCAUUUCCUUCCUUCUUCACCAAUAUCCAACUCCAUAGCUUUUUAGGCAGCUAUGUUGUCAGAUGAAAGAAAAACAAAAAGCCUUCAUUUCUCAACCAGUUAUGCCACUGGGUGUCCAUGUGAUAUAGUUCUAACCAACGGGAUGGAGUGGAAAUCUGAAGUCUGCUAGAAAGUCUUAGGAAAGUGUUUCUUUCCAUUUAUUUGCACUUGUUGCUUUUGUUGUCUUUCUACUGGGAUGCCAGUGCAAUGCCUUAAGUGGACCACUCAUUUUAUAACCAUGGGGCUAAAAAACACCCACGGAGCAUGAUGCAGCUGAAGGUUAGAGGAAGCUGGAAACUUGAUGAUUUCUCAAGCAUUUGUAUCAGCCCCAGGCUGCCUACUCCUGAACCUUACUAUGCGAGGUAGGAUGAGCCUUUACUUCAUUAUGCCACUGAGGUUAUGAUAUGGACAAGAGGCAGGGAAAUACUGGUUAAAAGAGAGUGGUUCCCUGGCAAAGGCCCUAUCCUCUAGCCUGGAAACCUACAGCCCUAAAUAGGAACAGGCAUUCCUGUUUUAGUGCCAAAUGUUGCCUUUUCCAAGACCACCCUGGCCUGCCACACCCCCACCCUGUACCCAUAAAAACUCCAAACCUCAGGCUCCAUGAGCAGAAGAGCAGCAAAGCAGUGUGGCAGAGAAGGAGAGAGGAGAAAGAGUGUCUGAACAUCGAGGAGUUCAGCUGGGGACUGUCAAGAGAGAUCAUUCGUGGGAUGGCCAAACUCCAGGGGAAGGUUGUUUUCUCACUCCAUCCUCUUUCCAGCUUCCCAUCCAUCCUGCUGAGAGCCACCUCCAUCAUUCAAUAAAAUCUCUGUAUUCACCCUCCUUCAAGUCUGUAGGACCUGAUUCUUCCUGGCUGCCAGACAAAGACCUGGGUACCAAGACGACAGGAUGUAAAAGGCUGUCACCCUAACUCUUCACUGAGCUGGUUUAACACUUAGCCAUCCACGGACAGUAACUGCUAAAAGAGCAUUAAUUGUAACACACCCCUAGAUGCCACCAUGGGGCUAGAGCCCAAAAGCACUCAUCCCGUCUCCUGCACCUGCCUGUCUGCAUGCUCCCCCUCCCUUAAGGGGUUUGAGUGUGCAGUGGCCAAGCGAACAAGCCACACCUCUGUUGCAAGUCCCAUAAGAGGGUGAAGGAACUCUCUCAUUUCAGUUAGGUUUCUGUUACUUAACAGUGUGUAAGUCACUGUGAGGGUUGAAACACACAUCAAUGACCAGCAGAAUGCCUGAAUAAUAAGUGCUUAUAAGAGUGUUAGCUAGAGACUGGGCAUGGUGGCUCAUGCCUAUAAUCCCAGCACUUUGG
Molecule: long non-coding RNA, 2428 nt
Organism: Cercocebus atys (sooty mangabey)
Lineage: Eukaryota; Metazoa; Chordata; Mammalia; Primates; Cercopithecidae
Exons: 3
Source: RefSeq, a predicted model, not a curated record